CUUUACUAUAGCUUUGCACUGGCAUUAGAAAUUAGAUGUGCAGGAUAGGUGGGAGACUUUGAAGUGGUGGCGCUAGCUGCCAUGGAGUCGCCGUUGAGAUACCACCCUUCUGAUUUUUGAUGUCUAACUGAGAUCAGUGAAUCCUGGUCCAGGACCAUGCAUGGUGGGUAGUUUGACUGGGGCGGUCGCCUCCCAAAAAGUAACGGAGGCGCGCGAUGGUUAGCUCAGGUUGGUCGGAAAUCAACUGUUAGAGUGCAAUGGCAUAAGCUAGCCUGACUGCGAGUCUGACAAGACGAGCAGAGACGAAAGUCGGUCAUAGUGAUCCGGUGGUCCCGUGUGGAAGGGCCAUCGCUCAACGAAUAAAAGGUA
This 369-nucleotide ribosomal RNA is filed under the name uncultured organism. RNAcentral describes it as "bacterial LSU rRNA". It matches the Rfam family "Bacterial large subunit ribosomal RNA", at positions 2099 to 2465 of the family's 2925-position model. The record is from RNAcentral.